Long non-coding RNA from Cyanistes caeruleus (blue tit), 1460 nucleotides. RefSeq lists it as uncharacterized. NCBI's taxonomy places the organism in Eukaryota, Metazoa, Chordata, Aves, Passeriformes, Paridae. The record is from RefSeq and is a predicted model, not a curated record.
CCGCUCCCGCCGGGGUCGGCAUCGUCACGGCGUCCUUAAGGAGGGACCCUAUUUUGCACCUGAAAUGAUGAAUUAGAACUUUAAAAAGACAGACCACAGGGACACAUACAAACACUAAGGAAAACAGAUAAUUGCAAGAUCAACCAUAUGCUUCUGUUUAUACAAAUCUGGCAUGUUUUGGGAAUUUUAAGGUCAGUGUCCUUCCUAUGCUGGGGAGAGCAGAGCUGGAUGUGUAAUCCAAAAUGGAGAAUAUCACAUCAGUUUGUCUUUUUUUUGGGUAAUAAUUGUCUCUCAGGAAACUGAGCAUGGAAGAAGAAGGAAAACUACACUCCUUUCUUCAUUCAUUUCAUAAUCUCUGAGCAGUACUGGGAACCAUGGAGCCAGUCAGUGAAAAUGAGUCAAGCCCUGUAUCUGAACAGCAAUGAGCUACUGAAGAAAUAGUUUUGAAGGGAAGACCUUUUUUAUUAACCUUUCUAGUGCCAUCCUCAAAGGUACUGGGGAUUCUCAGUUCUCAGCAACUUCAAGGACAAUUCAGUGUUCAAUAUUUUCUUGCAGAACUGGGGGUGCAGAGAUGAGGGCUAGAUGAUAAUGUACUGAUGGGAUCACAAACACUUGUGAAAGGCAGCUCUAUAUGUAAAAAAACAUUUUUUUGGCCAAUUUUUAGUAUGUCAUGGGUUGUGCAAUGACAAAAAAUGGCAUAAGAUGGCAGUAAGAGCUUGCAAGAUACAGUGAUUUCACAUGUUCCAGUGAAUCAACCUACUGCCUUGAAAUAAGGAUGAUUGUAUAACUGGUGAUAAAUGGGGAUUUCUGGGCUCCUUUGGGACAUUGUUUUCUAGCUUUCUUUUUCCAUUUUUCUUUUCCUCAGAGGAAUAUCUCCAGUUUAUCUGGCUGUGAGAAACCUGAAUAGUUUUUCACACUGCAUUGCCAUUUGUGUGGAAGUGCUUGAAAUUCACUGCUCAUACUUUUUAAAUCUGUGCUGUAUGAAAAUCACUCCAAAUUUAGCAUUAUAUUAAAGAUGGUACCAUGUGCUGGUAGAAACAGAAUAGGGCGAAACAACCAUGUCAGUAAUGCACAUGCAGCUUUAUAGCCUUGCUAGGGCAGCAAUAUGGACAAGGGGCUGUUUAGUUUAUCCACUGCUAAACUCCAGCAAGGAGAGCAGGCUACUGUGGACCCUGACUUGUGCUGGCAGCUGUAGUCAAACCCCAGGAGCUGGUGGAGCUGUGAGCCCUGUGGGAAGUUUUGUUAGGGGUUUUCAUGACACCAAGGCUCUAGGGUCAUCUCAUAACUUUCCAGUCCAGGGCUAUAAUUUGGAGGUGCAAAACUACCUUCUCUUGGUUAGAGAAAUUACUUUUGAAUACAUAAAUAAAUACUGCUUGUGAUACCUAUAUGAAAAAUUGAGAGCUUUAUUUCUGGAGACUGAUUCCUGUAAGAUUUUUCUGAUUUAAGAAUUACUAAGAUAG